This 113-nucleotide ribosomal RNA is filed under the name Sarmentypnum exannulatum. RNAcentral's name for it is "partial 5.8S ribosomal RNA". It matches the Rfam family "5.8S ribosomal RNA", at positions 1 to 109 of the family's 154-position model. Rfam says of the family: 5.8S ribosomal RNA (5.8S rRNA) is a component of the large subunit of the eukaryotic ribosome. Lineage: Eukaryota; Viridiplantae; Streptophyta; Bryopsida; Hypnales; Amblystegiaceae. The record is from RNAcentral.
AAACAACUCUCAGCAACGGAUAUCUUGGCUCUUGCAACGAUGAAGAACGCAGCGAAAUGCGAUACGUAGUGUGAAUUGCAGAAUUCCGCGAAUCAUCGAGUCUUUGAACGCAA